This 71-nucleotide transfer RNA is filed under the name Hydrophis curtus (Shaw's sea snake). Its description in RNAcentral is "tRNA-Gln". Lineage: Eukaryota; Metazoa; Chordata; Lepidosauria; Squamata; Elapidae. The record is from RNAcentral.
UGGAAAGUAGUAUACAGGUAGUAUUGAAAGUUUUGGGCUUUCAGGUUUAAGUUCGAUUCUUGACUUUCUAA